Long non-coding RNA from Zingiber officinale, 422 nucleotides. RefSeq lists it as uncharacterized. The transcript is spliced from 3 exons. The record is from RefSeq and is a predicted model, not a curated record. Lineage: Eukaryota; Viridiplantae; Streptophyta; Magnoliopsida; Zingiberales; Zingiberaceae.
AGCGCCAACCGUCGUGCCUUAAUUCAUGACCGCCGCCCCUCUGCUGCAAUUUGGCAGCACGACCAUCACUGGUGAGCCUUGUCUGCCGACCUCAACAGCCCUUUCGGUGACUGCUGUUUGGGGUGAGGUGUUAAUGGUGGAUGGAGGAUAGAUUCAUCAUGGGUUUGGUUUCGGACCGGAGAAAAUAGUGCCAAAUCCUUUAUUGUGUUUCUGCUCGACAGUGCCGAAGAGGACACAGAGCUAUGCCGUAGCCGGAUCUUGGAGUGAAGAAUUUUCAGCAGCCAACGUCCCUUAAUGGCAGCAAGUUCCAGCCAGCAAUUCUUUGGUUUCAGUACAAACCGGUGGCUGUGAAUUAAGGACUUUGACACGAGACGAGCAUCUCGAUGUUGGAUUUGACUGGAUUGAACCUGCUAUUGGAGGCG